RNAcentral lists this ribosomal RNA (253 nucleotides) under uncultured bacterium. RNAcentral describes it as "partial 16S ribosomal RNA". It matches the Rfam family "Bacterial small subunit ribosomal RNA", at positions 524 to 776 of the family's 1533-position model. The record is from RNAcentral.
UACGUAGGGUGCAGGCGUUAAUCGGAAUUACUGGGCGUAAAGCGUGCGCAGGCGGUUUUGUAAGCCGGAUGUGAAAUCCCCGGGCUUAACCUGGGAAUGGCAUUCGGGACUGCAAGGCUGGAGUGCGGCAGAGGAGACUGGAAUUCCUGGUGUAGCAGUGAAAUGCGUAGAUAUCAGGAGGAACACCGAUGGCGAAGGCAGGUCUCUGGGCUGACACUGACGCUCAUGCACGAAAGCGUGGGGAGCAAACAGG